RNAcentral lists this ribosomal RNA (433 nucleotides) under uncultured bacterium. RNAcentral's name for it is "bacterial SSU rRNA". It matches the Rfam family "Bacterial small subunit ribosomal RNA", at positions 957 to 1391 of the family's 1533-position model. The record is from RNAcentral.
GAACGCGAAGAACCUUACCAGGUCUUGACAUCCCUCUGAUCGCUCUAGAGAUAGAGUUUUCCUUCGGGACAGAGGUGACAGGUGGUGCAUGGUUGUCGUCAGCUCGUGUCGUGAGAUGUUGGGUUAAGUCCCGCAACGAGCGCAACCCCUAUUGUUAGUUGCCAUCAUUUAGUUGGGCACUCUAGCGAGACUGCCGGUAAUAAACCGGAGGAAGGUGGGGAUGACGUCAAAUCAUCAUGCCCCUUAUGACCUGGGCUACACACGUGCUACAAUGGCUGGUACAACGAGUCGCAAGUCGGUGACGGCAAGCUAAUCUCUUAAAGCCAGUCUCAGUUCGGAUUGUAGGCUGCAACUCGCCUACAUGAAGUCGGAAUCGCUAGUAAUCGCGGAUCAGCACGCCGCGGUGAAUACGUUCCCGGGUCUUGUACACACC